RNAcentral lists this ribosomal RNA (439 nucleotides) under uncultured bacterium. RNAcentral's name for it is "partial 16S ribosomal RNA". It matches the Rfam family "Bacterial small subunit ribosomal RNA", at positions 330 to 786 of the family's 1533-position model. The record is from RNAcentral.
CCCAGACUCCUACGGGAGGCAGCAGUGGGGAAUAUUGCACAAUGGGGGAAACCCUGAUGCAGCGACGCCGCGUGAGCGAAGAAGUACCUCGGUAUGUAAAGCUCUAUCAGCAGGGAAGAAGAUGACGGUACCUGACCAAGAAGCUCCGGCUAAAUACGUGCCAGCAGCCGCGGUAAUACGUAUGGAGCAAGCGUUAUCCGGAUUUACUGGGUGUAAAGGGAGCGUAGACGGCAGCGCAAGUCUGAAGUGAAAUGCCGGGGCUUAACCCCGGAACUGCUUUGGAAACUGAGCAGCUAGAGUGCAGGAGAGGUAAGUGGAAUUCCUAGUGUAGCGGUGAAAUGCGUAGAUAUUAGGAGGAACACCAGUGGCGAAGGCGGCUUACUGGACUGUAACUGACGUUGAGGCUCGAAAGCGUGGGGAGCAAACAGGAUUAGAUACC